UACGGAGGGUGCGAGCGUUUGUCCGGAAUCACUGGGCGUAAAGGGCGCGUAGGCGGCGUCGUGAGUCAACGGUGAAAGCUCAGGGCUCAACCCUGAGUCGGCCGUCGGAUACUGCGAGGCUUGAGCACUGUAGAGGCAGGUGGAAUUCCGGGGUGUAGCGGUGGAAUGCGUAGAGAUCCCGGAAGAACACCCGGUGGCGAAGGCGGCCUGCUGGGCAGUAGCUGGACGCUGAGGCGCGACAGCGUGGGGAGCAAACAGGGAUUAGAUACCCCCGUGAUAGUCC
Molecule: ribosomal RNA, 283 nt
Filed under: uncultured bacterium
Lineage: Bacteria
Description: partial 16S ribosomal RNA
Rfam family: Bacterial small subunit ribosomal RNA
Source: RNAcentral